UACGUAGGUGGCAAGCGUUGUCCGGAUUUAUUGGGUUUAAAGGGUGCGUAGGCGGUCUUAUAAGUCAGUGCUGAAAUAUCCCGGCUUAACCGGGAGGGUGGCAUUGAUACUGUAGGACUUGAGUAAAGUUGAGGUUGGCGGAAUUGACGGUGUAGCGGUGAAAUGCGCAGAUAUCGGGAGGAACACCAAUUGCGAAGGCAGCUCGCUGGGACGUUACUGACGCUGAGACGCGAAAGCGUGGGGAGCAAACAGG
This 253-nucleotide ribosomal RNA is filed under the name uncultured bacterium. RNAcentral describes it as "partial 16S ribosomal RNA". It matches the Rfam family "Bacterial small subunit ribosomal RNA", at positions 524 to 776 of the family's 1533-position model. The record is from RNAcentral.